RNAcentral lists this ribosomal RNA (222 nucleotides) under uncultured bacterium. RNAcentral describes it as "partial 16S ribosomal RNA". It matches the Rfam family "Bacterial small subunit ribosomal RNA", at positions 111 to 334 of the family's 1533-position model. The record is from RNAcentral.
UAAUAUAUCGGAACGUGCCCAGUAGUGGGGGAUAGCCCGGCGAAAGCCGGAUUAAUACCGCAUGAGACCUGAGGGUGAAAGCGGGGGACUCGCAAGAGCCUCGCGCUACUGGAGCGGCCGAUAUCAGAUUAGCUAGUUGGUGGGGUAAAAGCCUACCAAGGCAACGAUCUGUAGUUGGUCUGAGAGGACGACCAGCCACACUGGGACUGAGACACGGCCCAG